CCUACGGGAGGCAGCAGUGGGGGAUAUUGGACAAUGGGGGGAACCCUGAUCCAGCGACGCCGCGUGAGUGAAGAAGUAUCUCGGUAUGUAAAGCUCUAUCAGCAGGGAAGAAGAAAUGACGGUACCUGAGUAAGAAGCCCCGGCUAACUACGUGCCAGCAGCCGCGUUAAUACGUAGGGGGCAAGCGUUAUCCGGAAUUACUGGGUGUAAAGGGAGCGUAGACGGUGAUGUAAGUCUGGAGUGAAAGGCGGGGGCCCAACCCCCGGACUGCUCUGGAAACUAUGUGACUGGAGUGCAGGAGAGGUGAGCGGAAUUCCUAGUGUAGCGGUGAAAUGCGUAGAGAUCAUACAGAACACCGAUUGCGAAGGCAGCGUACCAAACUAUAUCUGACGUUGAGGCACGAAAGCGUGGGGAGCAAACAGGAUUAGAUACCCCAGUAGUC
This 442-nucleotide ribosomal RNA is filed under the name uncultured bacterium. Its description in RNAcentral is "partial 16S ribosomal RNA". It matches the Rfam family "Bacterial small subunit ribosomal RNA", at positions 338 to 795 of the family's 1533-position model. The record is from RNAcentral.